AAGCAGCAGAACUUUCAGCCAUGCAGGCCAGGGACAGCCAGUGAGAAUGAGAACUCAGCCCAGGAGGCCAGACUGAGUGCCAGUGAGAGAGGUGGAGGAGCUGAAGAAGGAGAAUGCAGACAGGCAAAAAAGUGUCAUUCUACGCUGCUUUGACUUACUCUGGGAGGAUAGGACCCUUCAAUGCUGACGUCCCACUGGUCUACAGUAAAGUCUUCCCCAACAAAUCGGAAAGGCCUACAACUCACUUACAGGUAAUAGCUACAACUACCGACCUACCUACAUGUAUGGACAUGAGAGUACAUUCUGGGCCAGCUAAUGUUACUGAGUGCUGAUGGAAAUUGUUGAUCUCUUCCUGUUUCGGUUUCUGCUCUGGUGCAGAUAUAAGUGAUAAAAGUCGACUAAAUCAGAUUCACUGCCAGUGAUGCCCCUAGCCCAGGAGACAUUGGUGUUUACAUAUACAAGAAUGACAAGAGAAUCAUGUUUAAUUAUGCACACAGUCCUGGUGGAAAUGGUAGAUUUGUGGUAAAUGCAGUGACUCUAGAGCUGCAGGUGGGUGUGGUCUACAUGAGUCUCCCCUCAGGCAGGGGGCUGUAUGAUGAUUCAGAUAACCUCAAUGUCAACAGUGGCUUCCUGCUCUUCCCUAUGUGAGGGGAAUCAUUUCAAAUCAUAGGCCCAAUAAAACGAUGUAACUGUCACGCCCUGACCUUA
Salvelinus fontinalis (brook trout) is the source of this 708-nucleotide long non-coding RNA. RefSeq lists it as uncharacterized. NCBI's taxonomy places the organism in Eukaryota, Metazoa, Chordata, Actinopteri, Salmoniformes, Salmonidae. The transcript has 3 exons. The record is from RefSeq and is a predicted model, not a curated record.